This 373-nucleotide unclassified non-coding RNA is filed under the name uncultured fungus. RNAcentral's name for it is "sequence contains ITS1". The stretch from base 1 to 103 matches the Rfam family "5.8S ribosomal RNA", at positions 50 to 154 of the family's 154-position model. Lineage: Eukaryota; Fungi. The record is from RNAcentral.
GAAAUGCGAUAACUAGUGUGAAUUGCAGAACUCAGCGAAUCAUCGAACUCUUGAACGCAUCUUGCACCCUUUGGAAACGAAGGGUAUGUCUGUUUGAGUGUUGGUUCAUUACUAUCACGAUCAAAUUUAUUUGAUAUGUGGAAUAUGAUCUUUGGUGAAUUUAUUCUCCAUUGAUUCAAGGAAAGAGAAGGUCUUGAUUGAAUUCAUAGACUUUUACAUUAGUGUUGUAGGUUCUUUUACCCCUCACUCGAUGUAUCUGUCAACCUGUCUUCAACUGGAAAAUCCCUUCAAAAAGAGGAAAUCCGAGAGAGAACAUUCCUCAAUUUACCAAUCCAUCAACCUCAAAUCAGUCAAGAUCACCCCCUGAACUUAA